UUAGGAAUCAUUUUAUAAUGUAACUUUCUUUUAAUUAUAUUUUGGUGCUCAGUUUAAGUUAGAUGGGAAUUUUAGUAAAUCUGACAAGGGGAGUAUGAGACAACUUAUGAUGUAUUUUCUCUGCAGGGUGUUACUCACGUUGAUCUCUAUAGGUCUAUCUGGCACGGCCAUAUUAACUGGAUUUAAUAUGCUUUCAAAAGGUAUACUUUGAUUGCUUCAUUUCUGUUUCAGUACUGCCAUAACUUUACGUACUUCUAGCAGCAUCUUUAAACGUUGUUUCAUUUUGAUUUUCUCCGUUUUUUAGUUAUUCCAUUUUAAUGGAGGGAAGAUAAUAAGUUACUCCCUCCGUUCCUAAAUAAGUGUCGUUUAAGGUUUUUACACAUGGAUUAAGAAAGUCAUUUAAACAAGAAGUGCGACCCCCCUCUAAUUUUUUGUUUUCUUUAUUUGCAUUUUGGGGAAUAUUAUCAUUUAAUAGUUAAAAUAUGUGUAAAAUUUCAUCACUACCCCUUUAUGGGAAGUUGAAAACUAUUAAUACUAAGGGUGAGAAUUUCUUGAGACAAUGAGAUAAGGUAGGGGUAAUAAAGGAAAGUAAAUAAUUUAUUCUCCUAGAAAGUUGUAAACGACAAAUAAAUUGGAACAAAUUUUUUCUUCUAAAAUGUCACUUAUUUAGAAAUGGAGGGAGUAUAAUUUUUCCAUCUCAUUAAAAAGUUAUAUAUUUCUCUAUUUUAUACAUACAUUGUAGGUUUUGGAAAGAAAUUAUAUGCCAAUUGCUUGGAAUACAACAGUCUACUGUUAAGCAAAAUGAAGGAUUCUCAAAAAAAAGAAAAAAUCUUUCUUUCUAAAUAAGUUAUCAAACCUUCUCUAGAACGUGAUUACUUUGCAUAUGAUUUUAAUGAAAACUUAUGAUUUCUAAAAAUUCUCUGCAAAAAAAGUAAAAUAAAAGUAAUUGCAACAUUCUUAGGAAACAUGAAAAGUAACAUGUCCUUCCAUCUUGCUAAAUUUUUUUAAUGUGAUUUCCCAUUACAAGUAAGUAAUUCUAUAGCUUAAUUCAUAUUUGAUAGAGUACGAAGAUUAAGAAAUCCUGAAUGGGGAAUUUUAUGCCAUUAAUGUUCUUUUGGAACCCAAUCUUGUAGGUACUCUAGGGAAGUUAAUGUGAUUUCAACCCAAAUCACGCACAAGGUGAAAUCCAUCCAUGCCAAUGUUACUUCCAUAAAGAAUGCACGCCACUCCCAAACACCCCCCUAAGCUACUUCGUGAUAGAUUGGGAAGUGGAACUAAUGUCCCCUUAUAUAGUUGAUACAAGAUGAGGUAACCUUUAAUCUAUUUCCACUAUGAAAUUCCUAUUUUAGUCUCGUUUUGAGCAAGUGUAGCUGCUCAUAAAUCUCAGUUUUUAGUUAUUUGAUUUUGAUUGAUAAAACUUAUCCCAUGAGGUAUUCUUAAUCAGGAAACUAAAGAAAGUUAGUUCUAUAUUUUGCUCAUCAAUGUUCUUGCUCAAUUUCUCAUUUGGAAGAACUGUUUAUCAAUGGAAAGAGAAGUAUAACACGCUGCCAAGUUACGGUGUUCCUUUAGAAAUUGACGUUUCUAUAACACUACUAUAACCUUUGUGUCAGGUAAUGAAGUAAUUCAAGAUAUGGUCUCAAAUGAUGGUCUUAUUUUUUCUGGUAGAGAUAAAAUAGAUGUAUUGAAUAUUGUUAUAUUAUUACAAAGAGCACUAAAGCUUUAUAUAUUGGUUACUAGUUGAGUAGUGGUCAAGUAUAUGUGAGCACCAAGUAUGUGUGGGUAUCAAGCAUACUUGGUGACCAAGUAAUAAUAAUAAUAUACUCUAAUACCCCCUCAAGUUGGAAGUCUUAUAUCACGACUCACAACUUGUUACAUAACAAAAUAAAAGACUCAAAAUCAACUACGAAGGACUAUGCCUAAUAAUAAUAUACUCGAAUACUCCCCUUCAAGUUAGAAGUCUUAUAUCCCAACUUACAAUUAAUUACAUAACAUAAUCUUAAAAAUAAAAGUGUCAAACGAACUAGGAAAAUUGAACCCCUCUUCAAUUUGCAUAGAAAAAAGAUUAAUUUUUUUACAUCCAAAGUUAGAUGUCUCAUUAUAUAACUUCACACAUCCACUUUCCAAGGAUAUCAUAUAAUGGAAAUAACGGAGAAUACUCGUCUCCCAUAACAAAUGUGAAGGACUCUAUAUCCUUCAAAAACAACUACGAAGGACUCCUUUCCUUCCUCAACAAUGAAGGACUCUAGCCUCCCAAAAAAUCGAAGGACACACUCCUUCCUGAAAUCUCGGCCCCUAUGCAAUCCUUACUUUUCAAUCAACCAUCCAUUUACAUAUUCAAGGAGAAAAAUAACUACGAAGGACAAAUCAUUUUUGUUUCACCACAAAAACAAACAACGACCAUGGUUUUUUAUUUUGUUUUCUCUAAACGAAUAAAAGAAAGAAAAAAAGAUCCCUGCCGCCCGGCUAUGUGCUGUCGUCAACGGAAGCAAGACUUCUAGUUGGCCUUCCAAGAUCAAACUAGCUUUGAUAUCAUAUUAGAGAUAAAAUAGAUGUAUUGAAUAUUGUUGUUAUAUUAUUACAAAGAGUACUAAAGCCUUAUAUAUAGGCUACUAGUUGAGUAGUGGCCAAGAAUGUGUGGGUACCAAGCAUACUUAGUGACCAAGUAAUAAUAAUAAUAAUAAUAAUAAUUUACUCUAAUACUUGUCUAAUCCAUCAAACAAGUUGAUUAUAUCUUGGAGUCAAUUUUUCGGAAGGCUGGUUAAAAUGUUCUGGUGAGUGGAACAAGUAACUGACAGUUGAGAAAUUUUUGAUCACUCGUAUAGAAAAGCUUGACCAAGCUCUUUAAUAAAUUAUUGUAUACGAAGUGCAGUGAAUUAGAUCUAGUAUUUUACUUAACCAAGGGGAAGUUUAUGCAUUUAAUUGCAGCUAUUGAAAAGCCUAAUUAAUUUCUCAACCAAGAUAAUUCUAGCUUGUUUCGAGUUGGUCAGCUUUGAUGAUUCAUUUUUGAUGUAAUUCCUGCAAGGUAUGCCUCACGUAUGAUUUGAUACUUUGUGAUUAGCUUGUCUCGAGCUGGCCAGCUUUCUUUGAUUACUGGAACGUCUAAGAAGUUCUCCAUCCAUUUUGAUAACAGCGGGAAUUUCUCUUCCUCUAUCAAUUUAUUGCCGGCUACUUCCUCUAUGACACUAAUCAGAUUGGCCAUCCAACCAAAUACUAGAUCUAGGAACCCAAUUGUCUCUCCGCUGAAAAAAUUCUUUCCCUGAAGUAGUUCUUCUACAUAUUUCAGGUUUUCUGAGACCAGAACACUAGCUUCUUCUUGCUCCUUCUCCUGUGUAAGAAAAACCUGGCGUACUGAUGGAAAAAGCUAAUUUUGAAAAAGAAAGAGUAGUCAAAGUUAGAUCCAAUGGUGCUACAUGAGCUAAUAUAGUACAGAUGUUACUUGCUGGACUUGAGGGCAAGUUUGGAUAUCUUUCCUGAGUCCUGUUUCAAACUCUGUUCUUCAGUAAACUUUUUUUUUUGUGACUGUUUGUUGCAUUUUGAAACCCAUGAAUAUUUGUAUUUUGUCGAAACGGAAAAAAUUAGAAACAGGGGUCUUUGAAUUAGUGUCCUUAAAGACAGAAACAGAAAACCAUAUAAACCAAAUAUAUACUUGUUCUAAUCAAAAUUCAGUUUCAGGUGUAUUUAUCAGCACAUGUACAAGACCAGUUGGUUAUUGUACCUUUUCAUCAUUGAAGCUUGCCCAAAAACGUCCUCUGGCUUUCUCAUAUGGAUCUUCAGGGAAAAGGGGAUUUUCCUUCCAUGUAUCUUCGACGUACUCGAGGAUGACAAGUGAUUCAGAGAUCGGUUUCCCAUUGUGCACAAGCACCGGAACUUUCUUGUAAACAGGAUUAUACUGGAUGAGUGAAGGACUCUUGUUGGCAAUAUCUUCAAAUAUGGUAUCAAAUUCUAUGCUCUUAAGCUUCAGUGCCCAAACUAUCCUCAAGGCAAAUGGACUUGACCAUGUCCUGUAAAGCUUCACUUCUUCUGCCAUAUUGUUUUGAUUGCCAAACUAUGUAGCUAUGGUUAUUUAUAUACACAUUAUGUUCUUGUCUAUAGGUGCAUCUAUAUAAACAUAUACGUAUUUUCUGUAUAUCAUUUAUUCCAAGGACCACGUCAUGGAUUGC
Molecule: long non-coding RNA, 4160 nt
Filed under: Panax ginseng (ginseng)
Lineage: Eukaryota; Viridiplantae; Streptophyta; Magnoliopsida; Apiales; Araliaceae
Description: long non-coding RNA (PGIN_LNC008924)
Source: RNAcentral